UGGAUUACCACACCACCCUGUUGGAAACAUCGUCAAAAUUUUGUCACCAGCGCCACUCGCCCUCGCCACUACUGAAGCUGAGGAGAAGCAGUCGAUCACUCAGAUCUUCUUACGGCACCUUCAUCGUUUUUUGUGUUUCAAUGAAACCCUGACACAGUGAAGCAAAACGAGAAAUCGUAAAGAAAGGAUUGAGAAAAUCGUUGGAGUUGAUACGAUUACAAUGUCAGUUGCAGUUCCAAACCUGUUCACUAAUUCACGCUCUCAUCUCCUAUUCUAUCCCACGAAUAUUCGUGGCCAUUCUCUGAAGACCUCUGCUUUCGCUUUCUCGACAAUCUCAUCCAGGCCUAACGAAAACCCCUUGCAUUUCCAAAUCCUUGGGGACAGAGCUCUGCAUAAGAAAUUCGAACCCUUCGUGACUGAUCGAUGGCGUCUCAGAGCCUUUGAAUCUGGUGAGUCCCUUCCCAGUGAGGGCUUCAAUAACCUCAAUUUGGAUGCCUUCCUUUGUGUUGCUGAAGUGUUUUGUCUCGUUCCUUCGGCUGCUCUUUCAAUUGGAGUUGCCGUGAAUUGGGCGUUUUCUAGCUCGCAGAAGUCGUUUCCGUUGUUAUUGGCCAAUCGGGUUUUAGUUUGGCAGCUUGUUCUAUUGGUGGGUGCCGUUGCCAUCGGUGCUCUGAUUCGGAGUAGACAAUGGAAGAGGAUUUGUAGGGAUUCAUUUAAAUCGGGUACUUCGAGUUUCAGUCUCAUUGAUAGGAUUGAGAAGCUGGAGGAGGAUAUUCGGAGCUCGGCAACAAUUAUACGGGUGCUGUCGAGGCAGCUUGAGAAGUUGGGCAUCCGGUUCAGGGUUACUAGGAAGACAUUGAAAGAUCCCAUUACUGAGAUGGCAGCUUUAACUCAGAAGAAUUCUGAGGCAACUCGGGCUCUGGCUGCACAAGAAGAUAUUCUUGAAAAGGAGUUGGGUGAAAUUCAAAAAGUUUUGUUGGCAAUGCAGCUGUUCCUUUCUGCAGAGGGUCUAGGCCUCUAGGGAUGAACAAACGAAUUGGAACAUGGAGGACACCUAUUGCAGCCCAUUAUUGGGGUAUUUAUGCCAGGGUUUUCGGAGGCACUCGUUCAGAUGAGAUGGUUGUGCAACAUUUCAGUUUGGUGAUUGCUCACUGGGUUGCUGCAGAUUCUGUCUUUGCAGCUUAGCUACUUAUAGGUUCCAGGUCAUAGACUCCUCUCCCUACAUCACAGCAUCACAGUUGAGUGUAUCCCUCCUCCAGCCAGAUUUCUGAAGCUCAAUUUUGGUGAUUGUUCCUUGAGAAUCUAGGGCUUUCUGGAGUGGGAGAAUCAUCAGAGAUGGGCAAGGGACAAUUCUUGGAGCUUUCUUUUUAGUCCCAUUGCUUAAGACAGUUUGAUUGGGGCUGAGUUGUUGGAUUUAUGUACAGGAACAACAACAAAAACAGCUUGAGCUAAUUCUUGCAAUUGGGAAGGCUGGGAAACUGAAGGAAAGCAAGCGGGAGACUGCUGUCGAGGAAGAGCCAAUGGAGCAGUUUCGCCCAGUUUUGGAAGGGGUAAAACAGGU
Macadamia integrifolia is the source of this 1558-nucleotide RNA transcript. RefSeq lists it as uncharacterized. The record is from RefSeq and is a predicted model, not a curated record. The transcript is spliced from 4 exons. NCBI's taxonomy places the organism in Eukaryota, Viridiplantae, Streptophyta, Magnoliopsida, Proteales, Proteaceae.